This is a long non-coding RNA of Tyto alba (common barn owl), 1255 nucleotides long. RefSeq lists it as uncharacterized. The transcript has 2 exons. The record is from RefSeq and is a predicted model, not a curated record. NCBI's taxonomy places the organism in Eukaryota, Metazoa, Chordata, Aves, Strigiformes, Tytonidae.
GCCCCCGCCGGCUCGCCGGGAGGGCAGCUGCGGCGUUACGGGUAGGUAGGUAGGGAGGUACGUGGUCGGAAACCGCCGACGGGAACGCUGCGGAACGCGGCAGGGCGCGACGCGAUUAAAAACAUUGCGUCUGUGUGCCGUUCCCGCGGCGGGGGGGGAUCGCGAACGAGCAGGUUUUGUUUCCCGAAUCGGUAUUUGACCGAGCCGAUAGAUUCCCGAAAAGUGACAGGGACUUCUUAACGCCCGAAAGCGGUGAAGCCUUUCCUUUCCCUCCCGAUCCCGCGGCGAUCCCGCCGUGUAACGCAGUGCCCUCUAACACCACAAUGCGGCAAUGACGGUGCUGCAUUUACCGCGCUUCUCUGGCUCCUGCCCGUCAGCUGGAGCCGCGUCUCGCUGGGGGGGACCGGGCAGGGCUCGGCGGGCUUGUCUAUCAGCGGCAAGGGAGACAGGGGUGGCUCAAGGGCAGAGUUGCCUUUGAAAUAACAUUGGCGAUGUGGUUAAACCUCUGUGCGCGGAGGUGCGCGGUAGUUGAGUGAUAUCACAGGCAGAACUGUUAUUCCAGCCCUUGCCUAUCUUUCAGACUUAUUUGUUUUAGACAGAGGGUUAUUUAAGUUCCAAGCAGCAGCCAUCACGGUAACCUUAUGUCGUCCCAUCAGCCUUUGCCUGCUCCUCCACUAAUUUCAGCAUUUCCCUCCCAUCUGCCCUUCUCAUCACUGAUCUGCCUCCAGCCUUCUCCCAGAGGACAGCCUGGUUUGAGGACAUCGAGAGCUCUGGAUCAUUGGGGAUGAAUCCCAGAUCCUAUGUAAGGAUACUGGCCAGCCCAGCCAACAUCUGCCCUCCCUCCACAGCCCAAAACGCUCUUGCCAGAUGGUGUUCAGACUGAGAGUCAUCAGCAUCAACUGUCCCAAAGACUGCAGUUUGCAAGCAGCUGCCUUCUUCUAGGAGGCCCUUCAAAAGCAGGAAAAGGACUGACAUUUUCUGUGAUGCUGGUGGUCUGUUUUACAUGUUCAGGUAAUUCAAAACUUUUGGGAGACGUUAGGUUUACAUCGCACACACUUCACUGGCCUGCCACGUAGGAGGGCAAAGCACGUGGCCUCUGCGGCAGGCAGGCUGAGUAUCACUGCACUAGUGGCAUCCAGAUUAGGGUGUAUUAUGAUUACGUGGACAUUUGCAACUCCCAGCCCCCUUCAUCUUUUUCUCCACAAUACUUCACCAUCAAAAAAAAAAAAAAAAAAAACAGGGAGGAAGGGGAAGG